GGCGUGUGUGUUUGUUUCUCAGGUAAAACAUGGCUAAAAGCUUACGGAGCAAGUGGAAAAGAAAAAUGCGCGCUGAAAAGAGAAAAAAGAAUGCCCCAAAGGAGCUCAGCAGGCUUAAAAGUAUUCUCAAACUAGACGGUGAUGUUUUAAUGAAAGAUGUUCAAGAGACAGUAACUGUGGUGGUACCCAAACCCAAACAUUGCCAAGAGAAAAUGCAAUGUGAGGUAAAAGAUGAAAAAGAUGACAUGAAAAUGGAGACUGAUAUUAAGAGAAACAAAAAACUCUUCUAGACCAGAAUGGUCAGUACCCCAUAUGGAUGAACCAAAGGCAAAGAAAAAAGCUGAAGGCAAAGCGAGAGAGAAGAAAGGGAAAAAGUAAAGCAAAAGCAGUGAAAGUGGCAAAGGGUUUGGCCUGGUAGACUCUUAAAACCUUGGAAAAUGCCACAUGGGACAGGUGAUGGAUUAGAAUGUAUACACAUGUAUAAUUUGAUUUCAACUCCCACCAAAUGAAAACUAUUUGUUUUCCUAUUUUAACUUGGCCUUUUUUCUUCAAUUCAAACCCAGCAUAACUCCUCAAGUUUGUUUUGGGAACUUGAAUAAAAUACUUUGUUUCAUACAU
RNA transcript from Sapajus apella (tufted capuchin), 618 nucleotides. It is a transcript of the gene named protein LLP homolog pseudogene, with no coding region annotated. The transcript has a single exon. The record is from RefSeq and is a predicted model, not a curated record. NCBI's taxonomy places the organism in Eukaryota, Metazoa, Chordata, Mammalia, Primates, Cebidae.